This 253-nucleotide ribosomal RNA is filed under the name uncultured bacterium. Its description in RNAcentral is "partial 16S ribosomal RNA". It matches the Rfam family "Bacterial small subunit ribosomal RNA", at positions 524 to 776 of the family's 1533-position model. The record is from RNAcentral.
UACGUAGGGUGCGAGCGUUAAUCGGAAUUACUGGGCGUAAAGCGCGUGUAGGCAGCUAGGAAAGUCGGAUGUGAAAGCCCUGGGCUCAACCCAGGAAGUGCAUUCGAAACUUCCGAGCUUGAGUUCUGGAGAGGAAGGCGGAAUUCUCGGUGUAGAGGUGAAAUUCGUAGAUAUCGAGAGGAACACCGGUGGCGAAGGCGGCCUUCUGGACAGUGACUGACGCUGAGACGCGAAAGCGUGGGGAGCAAACAGG